CAGUAGCCGCGGUAAUACGUAGGGUGCGAGCGUUAAUCGGAAUUACUGGGCGUAAAGGGCUCGCAGGCGGUUUCUUAAGUCUGAUGUGAAAGCCCCCGGCUUAACCGGGGAGGGUCAUUGGAAACUGGGAAACUUGAGUGCAGAAGAGGAGAGUGGAAUUCCACGUGUAGCGGUGAAAUGCGUAGAGAUGUGGAGGAACACCAGUGGCGAGGGCGACUCUCUGGUCUGUAACUGACGCUGAGGAGCGAAAGCGUGGGGAGCGAACAGGAUUAGAUACCCCUGUAGUCCCUGUCUCUUAUAC
RNAcentral lists this ribosomal RNA (301 nucleotides) under uncultured bacterium. RNAcentral's name for it is "partial 16S ribosomal RNA". It matches the Rfam family "Bacterial small subunit ribosomal RNA", at positions 509 to 807 of the family's 1533-position model. The record is from RNAcentral.